CUACCUUUCACUGCACCGCUACCUCUAUUCAUACAACACAGUAAUUUAAACUACUCUGCAGAUUAGUUUAAAUUACUGUUAAAGAUCAUAUUUGCAUGGUGCGCUUCAUAAGUUGAGGGUAAACAAAAGUGAAUGUUCCUUUUAGGCUUGAUGGUGAUGAACUCGUCUGACCUGCAGAGGGAUGAAAUCAGCAGUCUGGCCUUUUCGUGGGACUUGCCACCAGUAAUUCAGAGACAGCUAUUAUUUCAACAUGUGCUGGUAUCUUGAGAAUUCCACUUCCUGUGGGACCUUGUUGUAGUAAAGUAGAGGUAACUGGUGGGAAGUGGCUCUGCUCGUACACAGCGUCUCUGGAAGCCUCAAACAAAAUCUGGGGACCUGGAAGAAACAGCAAGACAAGGAGAUCAGGAGCUCUCUUCCCCCAGAACCUUUCUCUGCUGACAGACUAGGAUGGCCACUUGUGGGUCAUGUCUCUGGUGUAUCAUCUGGCUGGUGGUUCUGCUAUUCAUCGGCUGGCCUCUUGGCAUCGCUUUAGGCGGUCUCUACGGCCUCAUCAGCCCCCUCACAACCUGCCUGGGCCUGGACCGACUCUCUGAUCUACUCCUGGAAGGGGCCAACCUGGGCCGAACUUGUGCUAAUAAUAUGAGGCACUGCAAGCCUUUGUGUUGAGAUCCAGUCACCAAGACCUGACAACACCGGGGCCAAAGACCAGAUAAAAUGCUUUUCUACAGAGAAGAGCCUUCACUUUAAGGAAAACUAUUAAUGUCUGUUUAUGCAGUGACAUCUUGAAACAAAUGCCACUCAAUGCGGUAAGAAACUUGACAAGUUGCAUAACAAAAAGGUCCGGAAGGUCUAGAAAAUGGAUCUGUUAAGAUGUAACUAACCAUGUAUUUCAAAAUUGCAUGGGUUUGUUAGGAAGGAAAUCAGCUUUGGGUUCAUUUUCUGUUUGCUGUUUAAUUCAUGAUGACACUGUAUGGAGAAGAUGAGAAUGAAAAUGGCAAUUUAACAAUGGCAGUGAUUCGACCUCUAAAUGACUCUAUGGAAACUUAUGUGAUUAAAACUGCUUUGA
Molecule: long non-coding RNA, 1066 nt
Organism: Monopterus albus (swamp eel)
Lineage: Eukaryota; Metazoa; Chordata; Actinopteri; Synbranchiformes; Synbranchidae
Exons: 3
Source: RefSeq, a predicted model, not a curated record